CAGGGGGCAGCGCGGGCGCGGCGCUGGGCCGGGCCCUGCACAGAGCCAGCCGGAGAAAUCCCGCUCCGGGAAUGCGGGCCGGCUCCGAGCCGCGAUCCCCGCCGGAGCUGCCUCGCAUCCCGCUCGGAAGCGGGCAUGCCUCGGCAACAGCCCGUGGCUGGCGGAAUUCCGGAAAAGUUUCCUGAAGCACUGCUGAAAUUCUUUUUUUCAUCCUAUCUCCAGCUCUCACCGUGUCCCAUAGGCAAAUCAAGAAAAAGCUUUGCCAGGCUCAUUUCACAGAUGCUCUCCCAUUUUUUUAUUGCAAGAAUUAAAGACAAAACUGCUCACUCUUCCCUUAAUCAUUUACUGUUUUCUGCAGCUGUUACACUGCCUCCAGCUCUGCGCUCCUACUGCCAAGACCUCCAUGUGGGAAACUCACAGCGAUGCUUCCCUCAUUCGCACGGUUUGCCUUCAGCCUUGACCCGCAGGAGGAGCAGGGCCCGGCGCAGAGCCCGCAGAGGCAGAGCUGCGUGUGGCGCAGGGAUUGUCCCCGCAGAAGGAAGGGCACGGCAGNNNNNNNNNNNNNNNNNNNNNNNNNNNNNNNNNNNNNNNNNNNNNNNNNNNNNNNNNNNNNNNNNNNNNNNNNNNGCGGUCGAGCAGGGGGAGAUGAUCCUGUUUUAAAGCAGGAGAGGAUGUUUUUCGUCCUGUACAAAUCGUGCCUGAGGAUACAUGGCAAAACCAUGUUGCCCACCCUCCCCCGCUUCCUCAGACGCCAUUCGUGAGGUGUCUUCUCCUGCGUAAUUAGGUUAAGUAGCUCUUGCAGAAUGAGUUAAGAGCAGAUACAGAGCUGGAGCAUGGAGACACCUAAGGUUGGUUAAGGUUAUUAGGCUCCAGCAGCAUUGCUGCAGGAGAAAUGCUUCCUUCAUAUUUUUUGCAAGCAAAUCAUUGUGGAUUGCCUUUAAAGACAGAAAAUUUUGUGUUAGAGGAGCGAGAAAGCUGCUUUCAGGAAUCAGCAGACUCUUUGUUGCUCAGAGGAGAGAGUGAUGUUUCCCCGCAGGUCUGUGUUCUGGCUCUCCUGCCUAAUACAGUUCCUUGCCUUUAAUUUAUGUGCUUGCAAAUGUGCCUUACUGCAGCUUCAAAACAAAAAUCUCUUUACAGUGUGUAUGUAUAUGUGCACAAACAUGCAUUCACUUCAGUGACACAUUGCCUGCUUCUAGUGCAUAUAUAUGGAAGAGUUCCAAAAGACAGGCAUUCCUCUCUUUGGAAAAGACCUCCUGAAAGCUUGUUUUAGAUGAUACUGAUCUCAGUUUUUUAAUUGUGGAAGUGAUGAUGAGCUCUGAGCAGAAAGUGCUGCUAGUGUGGCACUGGCUGGGUUGCCAGGAUGUAAAUUCUGCACUAUCAUGGUGCUUGUUGGCAGCUGAACAGGGCAACUCUAAAUACAGCAUUGAGCAGAUCAGGCUCCAGAAGCAAGGUCCCUGGUGAUUUCUUCCACUUGUAGUAGAAUGAACAUUUUGCCUUUCUGCAGAAACCCCCUUCAGGCUCUGUCUCACAUGUCUGAGUGAGAAUGUGAUUCCCAGCUGCAGCCAGUGCAGUGUGAGAGAAAGCACUACAGAACUGCACACCCAGAAUAAACCUGUGUCCAAUGAUUUCA
Long non-coding RNA from Zonotrichia albicollis (white-throated sparrow), 1630 nucleotides. Lineage: Eukaryota; Metazoa; Chordata; Aves; Passeriformes; Passerellidae. The record is from Ensembl.